Molecule: long non-coding RNA, 805 nt
Organism: Callorhinus ursinus (northern fur seal)
Lineage: Eukaryota; Metazoa; Chordata; Mammalia; Carnivora; Otariidae
Source: RefSeq, a predicted model, not a curated record
AAUUCAGGAGAUCACCCUCUUGCUUGUGUCCCCUCAAUGCCCAACCCUACUACUCCACAGGAAAAGAAACUCUCCAACCAUUACUGGGGGAAAGCCUUUAACUCCAUCAUCAGAGAUCAAGCUACAAAAGGUCAAUUUGUGGAGGUUAACAUCUUAACGAUGUUGAGUCUUCUAAUUUAUGAUCAAUGGUAUGUUCCUAUUUACCAAAAUGUCCCAUUUGUCAAGAAAAAAAAGAAAAUUAAGAAAAAGUUUUCUCUAAGAAGAGUACAGUAACCAAGAUGUAUCAUAGGUUUCAGAAUCUUGGAAGUGCCGGCAGUAUCCUGAAUGCCUUCUUGAACACCCAUCCCCAACCUUCUUCUUGGCACUUGCUGUUCUGGAAUGCCUUCUCCACUUUUCUGGUAGAAUUCCUCAUGUUUUUAGACUUGGCCAGAUCUGGGUACCAACCUUCAACUCCCAUAGUAUUCUGUGCCAGCCCUUCACGCUACCUUGUCACUUUGUUUGCUCAUCUGUCUCCUCCAUUACUCCGGGUUCCUUGAGAGCAGAGAUUUUGUCAUUAAUGUUCAUGAAUCUAGCAAAAAAAAUGAACACAUGGUAAUAUCCCAAUGGAUGCUGGCCAAAUACAUGUAAAUAUAAGUAUCGGAUUGUAAUCAUCCCUUUUACAAUCAUCUUAAACAAUCAAUUUGAGUUUCUCACUAUAAAUGAGUCCUUUCCUAAAAUACAACUUUAUCCAUAAUCCCAAAUCACCAUGUCCUUCGAUAGUUGAUUCUUGAACAACACAGGUUUGAACUUUGUGGGUCCACUUAUA